RNAcentral lists this long non-coding RNA (987 nucleotides) under Homo sapiens (human). RNAcentral describes it as "HSALNT0337336". Lineage: Eukaryota; Metazoa; Chordata; Mammalia; Primates; Hominidae. The record is from RNAcentral.
CACUGAAAGUUUCUCUGCUUUGGGCCAGCAGGAAAUUCCAGUUGCUUCAUUCACCGGAGCCAGUUAAGCUGCUGAAAUGAAAUGGAUCACCGGAGAGAUCACUAUAUCAGGACAUAGACUUGACUUUCAGGGUUGGAGGAAGCCGGACAAAGAUGAAUGGGAUUCAGAGCCUGAACUCAAGGUCAACGUCUUCUGAAUCACAAAGAGCUGGUGGGUCAGUCUGGGAGAAGAAAGAAAAUUCUGCGCCAAAUGGGAAAACCCUUAAAGUCUGCAUAGUUUUGCUUGUCGGGUUGUUAUGAGGCUCAAAGGAACGGCUGCUGUGAAAAAACAUGCUUUGCAAUUUAUGAAGCACUGGAUAAACAUCAGGAACGGUAUAAAAGCAUGCUGCUUACUCAAGAAAUACUAGUUGAGUGCCUGUGUGUUGGGCACUGGCUAGAGAUAAGGGUCUCCUAUGGACAGAAGUGCGGGCAAGGAGCUUUGUUCCUCCCCGAUGUCACCCUCCCACAGCCCACUUGCUAGCAGGCAAGAGAGGGGUGGAGGCCGGCAGUAAGGCAUGUACUGAACUGGACCUCUGGUGGAAUGGGUCACCCACGCUGGGCUUGACUCUUACCAUCAGGGUCCUGCCAACCCUUCAGUGAGACUUUUUCCGAAGAAUCCCUUUUAAAAUGACCUCAAGCUGACCUUCCUGAUGCAGAUUCCACAUAUGGUAUCUGAGACUCACACAGUGUGGUUGGAAGAUAGCACAGUGACCUCCCAGGCACAGCCCUCUGCCAGCCCUCCACUGGCUGCCCUAGGAUGCUGGCCUUCCUCCGAUGGGAGUCGGGCCCAGUCUGCUGUGAGCCAGGAGAAGCCAGCAAGCUCCCUGCGAGGCCUGGAGGAGCCCUUCUCACUCAGCUUGGUGUUCGAUGCCAGUGCCCCCGCCCAUUGUGGGGUGAGGGUGGGACUCUCAGCACAGCCCUGUCCAAAUAAAUCCUCUAAAGCCCUCUU